This 2237-nucleotide unclassified non-coding RNA is filed under the name Eurytemora carolleeae. RNAcentral describes it as "6-phosphogluconolactonase". The record is from RNAcentral. Lineage: Eukaryota; Metazoa; Arthropoda; Copepoda; Calanoida; Temoridae.
AGGAAAAUUUACUGAUUUGCAGGAAAAUGGUCGGAAGAUCAAUUGUAAUAAAGGAGACUGAGAAAGAUGUUGUUUCUGAACUCUGCAGGAUCAUUGAACAAUGUGCUAAGGAUUGUAUUGAAAAGAACGGUAGUUUUCACCUAGGAGUAUCCGGGGGCUCAUUAGCUAAGUUCCUCUGUCAGGGACUACCAAGUAUACAAACAGAUUGGGCCAGUUGGAAAAUCUUCUUCUGUGAUGAAAGAUUGGUCCCUUCAGACUCUGCUGAUAGUACUUGGGGUCUUUACAGAUCUGAACUUCUGAAAGUGGCGCCUUUAAAAGAAUCUCAGUUCCUAUUGGUUGAUACAGAUCUAGAACCGGAAGCGGCUGCUAAACAUUACCAAGCGCUGCUGCAAGAGCAUUUGGGAACACCACUUCAACUUCAUCUUCUUUUGUUGGGGGCGGGUCCUGAUGGACACACCUGUUCUCUGUUUCCUGAGCAUCCUCUGCUAGAAGAACCCGAGGAUGGUCGCCUUGUCGCUCAUAUUGUAGAUUCUCCUAAACCUCCUCCAGCUAGGGUCACAUUAACCCUACCGGUUGUAAAUAGUGCGGAGUUGUGUGUAUUCGCCGCAACCGGAGCAGGGAAGGCGGAUAUGAUGCAAACAAUACUCGGCGAGGCGGAGCCUUCUCCGUCCCUUCCCGCAAGAAUGGUGAACCCUGUGCAUGGAAAGGUUAUCUGGAUUCUGGACUCAGGUGCUGCAGCAAAUCUACCAAAAAUAUAAAGCAACUAGUUCGUGAUGUUAACUUGAAUAUUCCGGACUCUGCUUUAUGCUGCUGAUCAUAGAAAACGUUGAAUAUUCCGGACUCUGCUUUAAACGGCUGAUCAUUUAAAACUUUGAAUAUUCCGGACUCUACUUUAUGCUGCUGAUGAUAUAAAACUUUUAAUAUUCUGAACUUUGCUUAUCCUGCUGAUCAUACAAAACUUUGAAUAUUCCGGACUCUGCUUUAUGCUGCUGAUAAUAUAAAACUUUGAAUAUUCUGAACUCUGCUGUAUGCUGCUGAUCAUACAAAACUUGAAUAUUCCGGACUCUGCUUUACACUGCUGAUCAUGCAAAACAUUGAAAAAUGUAUCCACAAACAAAAUUAGUUUCCACACAAACAUUUGUGAUAAAGCACUGUGAAGUAUUUUUUAUAUUUAUCAACAGUAAAUCCUUUUUAAUUCACCAACUCUUUUGUAAUUGUAAAAUUUACAGUUUUGCACUUUUUAAUCUAUCAAGUGAAAAUUUUAUUUAAAGAUACAGUUAAGUGUCCCUUAUGAAAUUUCUUAUAUGCAAAAAAUGCCCAAGUAACUUUUGGAUCGAAAUAUACACAAACAUUGAUAUUUAAUUUACACUUGAUUAAAUGAAGCUUUUAAGGAUACCGUUGUAAAUUGGACAGUACAAUCUUUGCAUAGAGGGUCACUUAAGAUUACGCUUUUAAUCCUUUUAAUACCGCAUUGUUCUUAAUAAGGAGCCCAUCUUGUACUGGUAAUAGAUGUACCCUGAGAACCAGAACAAUCUUGUACUGGUAAUAGAUGUACCCUCAGAACCAGAACAAUCCAAUGCUGUCUGUCCAUUUGACCAUCGCGUUUUGGACAGACUUUUUACUAUACUUUUUACUUUCUAUGUAAAUGGAUCUGUAAUCUGUAUGUUUCAAGGUGAUAAAUUUCAAAUUUAAGAAUUAAGUAAAAAUGGUCAUUUCUUUGAUUUAAGUUUACGUAAGUCAAGGUUUGGUCUUGUUUACGUUUAUGUAUGAAACUUGAAAUCAGUAUUUUAAGUUUAAAAAUUACAAUUUUAUUACUUCUAUAUGAUAGUUUGCACUUUUUACACUUUUUUAGAAUAUAAUGAAAUGUUUUAUUUUUAUUUAAAGAAAUAUAUUUAGAUUAUCUUCUAUUUCACCAGAAUUUGUGGUUUAAUGUAAAUACAUAGUUGUGUAUUUUUCAUGUAUAAAUUUAUUUUCAAUGUUUAAAGUUAUUAAACUAAACGGCAAUUGAUACAUAAAAUGAAUGCACGGAGACCAAAUUCAAUGAAUUUUAACUAGGUUGUUGAACUACCUACGCCGGUUCCAAUUCAUGCGGAGUUGAAACGGAGAUUUAAGUUUUAAACCGGCUAGAGGAAGUUCAGCUACCUCUGUCCAAUUCAUUAAGUUUGGUCUCGGAUUAAAGUUAAAGAUUUCCCCAAAUCAUACAACAAAUUUCAAACAAUAAAAUACAUAAAAUAUAA